Ostrea edulis (European flat oyster) is the source of this 2277-nucleotide long non-coding RNA. RefSeq lists it as uncharacterized. NCBI's taxonomy places the organism in Eukaryota, Metazoa, Mollusca, Bivalvia, Ostreida, Ostreidae. The record is from RefSeq and is a predicted model, not a curated record. The transcript is spliced from 2 exons.
UAGACUGAUUAUGUACUGCAUCUGUACAAUAAAGUGAACUGCCAUAGACUGAUUAUGUACUGCAUCUAUACAAUAAAGUGAACUGCCACAGCACCCUACCAUAGUCACUUGAAUAAAAAAUAAAAAAAAAAACUUUAUUUAUUUAAAUAUAUAUUAUGAUAUUUUGAGUAGCGAUAGAGUUACUUAGUUAAAAACAUGUUAUGAUAAUAUGAACAGCGAUAGAGUUACUUAGUUGAUAAACCAUCCACUUAAUAGCGAGCGCAGCAAGCCAGCGCAAAACACUGGCUCGUACUGCGAGCUCUAAUGAGUAUAGCACGGGAAAUAAUCCGAGCUAAAUUUAAACCUCUAACAAGGAAUAUUUUUUCCCGCCAAUCCCAGAAGUCCCUUGUCAAAAAUGGUUCAGAUCUCGCAAAGUCACACCUUGGAAUAUGAUUGUGAACUUACGUACGUGGAUUAUCAUUCUAAUCUUGGGGCCUCCUAGCUCCAAAAUUCAGUGCACCAUUGACGUCAUGUCUACGUUUUGACGUACAUCAUAAUAAGACUGACAGUAGUGGAUCGAAAUGCGUACUUGUAAUUUCCAUUUGUAAAAUUCAUACUACCGGGACAAUAUUGAAUAUACGUAAACAUUAGGCAUACGUAAUAUGGCAUCGAAUACAAAUUGUGUAUAAUCGACUGCAAAUCACAAAUCUGAUUAAAAUACUAAACUCUCUAUAGGAAUUUAUUAUUCUAUGUAUGAGAGAACACAGGUACUGAAUUAGUGCUAUUUAAAAAAAAUUACAAAAAAUCUAUGGAAUUCAGUCGGAUUGAAAACAUUUUUUAACAAUCAUUGGGUUUUUUUUUUGGUGUUUUUUUUGGUUUUGUUUUUUGUGACUAAAAACAAUGAGUGCUUGAAUCCUUUUUAACAUGUCCAGUAAUACAAACGAUUACCCCCCCCCCCCCCCCCCCCCCCCCCCCCCCCCCUCAUGAUAACCAACUAUGCCACUUGCUAUUAACUGCUGAAAAAUCAUUAAUUAAUUCUAGUUUUGUGAAUUAAUCUUAAUUAAUGAUCCUCAUAACAACAGCGGAGAGGAGCUUAAAUCAAUGAUGUUGCAAUUUUAUUCAACGAUUAUAUGUGAAUGCUGAAAUAUUUCAUCAUUGUAUUACAAUAUUAAAAAAAAUUGUUCUAAUUUUCUCUUUUGGAACAUACCAUUGCUACAAGAUGGUUAUCAUACUUCAUUUCUUAAAAAUUAGAUAGGUGCGCAUGGUAGGUGGGUGGGUAUAUACAUGCCCAAUAGUUGAAUUUAUCGAUUUAUUUUAAAAUUAUCAUUAUACAGUCUAUGCGAAAGACAUCGGACCGUCGGACCUGAUCGAUGUGCAGUGCCUCAGGUCUGACGCAUCAUUUUUUACACCGGACCGGAAUGUCCAAUGUCUCAGUGUCCGGUUUUGAGCUUUACUAUUUUGAUGCGGAGUCAUUUAAAUGUUUGUUAUAAGUAAAAAAUAGCACACAAAUCCAAAUACGUAAAUGAAUGUGAUUAAAACCGCAUGGACUGUCUAGAGUAUUAAGUCUCAAUAUACCUGGCAAAUUGCCAAUACGAAGCUAAAGUGACCAGGGUUAAAAUGUAAAUAUGUUAAAAGAGUAUUUUAUAGAAUUUAAAUAGUUUCAUUGUUAUUGAUAUCUGUAUUAAUAUAGGGAGGUGACCAUUCUACAUUGAUUCAGUGCCUUUUUAUGGGAUUCGAAACUGUGACUGUGAGAUGUAUGAGAGUUUGACUUCUAGGCGGGCAAUUCUACUUUCACUUUAAACGGAUGGCAGGUGCCUGAGUGUAUCUCGACCCAUUUCCAGGCUAGCAUCAGAUGUCAUGAUGGACCUUUAAAAUCUUUCACAUGUGUGCUUUCAAGAACCAUAUACAUUAUUUUUGAAAAUUGGUUGCCAUGGUAAUAAAAUCUGAAAAUUAAAACAUGGGCUUCUGAAGGCGAAUUUUCCUCCAUUCCCUGGUAGUUUGUGACCUUAUACGGGAGGGAUCCCUGGUAUAGUAUUACUAGUAUAAUAAAUAAGAUUCCCUUGGUUUUGCAUUUUCACGUGUUUCACUUUUUUACAUUAGGUUUUUCGGUCUGACAAAAUUUGGUUCGGUCCGGUGUGUUCAUUGAUUACACAGGACCGAAUGUCCUGUGUGGUCCAAAAAACUUUCGCAUAGACUGCAUUAUAUUGAAAUGCAUUUUAUGUUCAAAGGCGGUGCUGUUUAAACUUCAAACUUGAAAGGUUUGGGCAUUUUUAUCAUACAAUAUUAGUAACUUGAAAA